RNAcentral lists this ribosomal RNA (308 nucleotides) under uncultured bacterium. RNAcentral describes it as "bacterial SSU rRNA". It matches the Rfam family "Bacterial small subunit ribosomal RNA", at positions 28 to 334 of the family's 1533-position model. The record is from RNAcentral.
GAUGAACGCUAGCGGGAGGCUUAAUACAUGCAAGUCGGACGGUAACAUUGGAGCUUGCUCCAGAUGACGAGUGGCGAACGGGUGAGUAACGCGUACACAACCUACCUUUAAGUGGUGAAUACCCUUUGGAAACGGAGACUAAUACACCAUAGUAUUAACUGAUCGAUAAUUGGUUAAUUAAAGCUCCGGCGCUUAAAGAUGGGUGUGCGUACUAUUAGCUAGUUGGUAAGGUAAUGGCUUACCAAGGCUACGAUAGUUAGGGGGCGUGAGAGCGUGAACCCCCACACGGGUACUGAGACACGGACCCG